CCUUGUACACACCGCCCGUCACACCACGAGAGUUUGUAACACCCGAAGUCGGUGAGGCAACCUUUUGGAGCCAGCCGCCUAAGGUGGGACAGAUGAUUGGGGUG
RNAcentral lists this ribosomal RNA (104 nucleotides) under uncultured bacterium. Its description in RNAcentral is "partial 16S ribosomal RNA". It matches the Rfam family "Bacterial small subunit ribosomal RNA", at positions 1379 to 1482 of the family's 1533-position model. The record is from RNAcentral.